CCUACGGGAGGCAGCAGUAGGGAAUAUUGCUCAAUGGGGGAAACCCUGAAGCAGCAACGCCGCGUGGAGGAUGAAGGUGUUCGGAGUGUAAACUCCUGUUGUUAGAGAAGAGAAUGACGGUAGCUAACGAAUAAGCACCGACUAACGCCGUGCCAGCAGCCGCGGUAAUACGGAGGGAGCAAGCGUUACUCGGAAUCACUGGGCGUAAAGAGCGCGUAGGCGGGAUAGCAAGUCAGAUGGGAAAUCCUAUGGCUUAACCAUAUAACUGCAUUUGAAACUGUUAUUCUAGAGUAUGGGAGAGGUAGUUGGAAUUCUUGUUGUAGUGGUCAACUCCGU
Molecule: ribosomal RNA, 336 nt
Filed under: uncultured bacterium
Lineage: Bacteria
Description: partial 16S ribosomal RNA
Rfam family: Bacterial small subunit ribosomal RNA
Source: RNAcentral